Molecule: ribosomal RNA, 253 nt
Filed under: uncultured bacterium
Lineage: Bacteria
Description: partial 16S ribosomal RNA
Rfam family: Bacterial small subunit ribosomal RNA
Source: RNAcentral
UACGAACUGUGCAAACGUUAUUCGGAAUCACUGGGCUUAAAGGGUGCGUAGGCGGCUCGUUAGGUAGGGUGUGAAAGCCCCCGGCUCAACCGGGGAAUUGCGCCCUAAACCGGCGGGCUGGAGUGAGAUAGGGGUGUGUGGAACUUCCGGUGGAGCGGUGAAAUGUGUUGAUAUCGGAAGGAACGCCGGUGGCGAAAGCGACACACUGGGUCUCAACUGACGCUGAGGCACGAAAGCCAGGGGAGCGAACGGG